UUGGUUCAAAAGUAUCUUCCGCUUUAGUGGUGGCAAUAAUUUUAUAAUAGAGAAAACACAGGGUAUGUAAACAUGUGAAAUAAACAUGUUAUUACUUGAUGUGUUUCAGGUAACUCCAAUCUUGGGUGUGCUUCUUAUCAUCUUGGGCUUUAUAUCUGUUGUUUGAACCUGUCUAGGGGCAAAUUGAAAAGAGUCAGGGUGAUAUUGUUGCAGACAAGGAUGUUAUCAUUCGUCGUUCAUUGUUGAAUGAUGCGAAACAUAUGUUACGCUGAUACAGACAGAGCCACAGCAUCGGCAGUCCUUAUAUUGUGGGUUUGGCAUUUCAUUUGCUUGCUCGCACACGUUUUGAUCGCCAGUUGCUAUUGGGGUUGAAUCGGGAAUUUUGUCUUGGGAAGUUCUCACGUCUGUUGUAUUGUGAUCUAAUAUAAUUGGAAAGAGCAAAAUAACGUAAAUGAAUUGUAUGCCGGGCAGAAACAGGUAUUGCAUUGAGUCAGGUGCACGCAACUGUUGUAACGAGCAUAAAUAUUCGCAUGCAAGCUGAAUAAGUCAAAUAAAACGAACCUAUUUUGGGUCUCUUUAUUAUUUUUUGAGCGACUUCAAUGGCCUGUAAAUUAGUCACAGAAAAAUUUG
This is a long non-coding RNA of Dendronephthya gigantea, 630 nucleotides long. RefSeq lists it as uncharacterized. The record is from RefSeq and is a predicted model, not a curated record. The transcript has 3 exons. Lineage: Eukaryota; Metazoa; Cnidaria; Anthozoa; Malacalcyonacea; Nephtheidae.